This 375-nucleotide long non-coding RNA is filed under the name Mytilus galloprovincialis (Mediterranean mussel). The record is from RNAcentral. Lineage: Eukaryota; Metazoa; Mollusca; Bivalvia; Mytilida; Mytilidae.
CAAAAGACCAAAAUGACACAGAAAUUACCAACUAUAGAUCACCGUACGGUCGUCAACAAUGAACAAAGCCCAUACCGCAUAGUCAGCUAUAAAAUGCCCCGAAAUAACAAUGUAAAACGAGAAAACUAACGGCCUAUUUAUGUACAAAAAAUGAACGAAAAACAAAUAUGUAACACAUAAACAAACAACCACUGAAUACGUAUACAAGACAAAAAGAAAAGGACAGUACAAAAUAUGUUAAGAAUAUAAUCUUAAAUAAAAAUGAAAAUAAUCCUCGUACAAAAUAAAUAUUUAUUUUUACCGAAAGGUGACUAGAUGCUCUACAAGUGUAAUUAGCAUAUUUUGAAUUUUACUUAAUAUAUUAUUUACCAGCAA